RNAcentral lists this ribosomal RNA (1253 nucleotides) under metagenome. Its description in RNAcentral is "bacterial LSU rRNA". It matches the Rfam family "Bacterial large subunit ribosomal RNA", at positions 1644 to 2925 of the family's 2925-position model. The record is from RNAcentral.
GUACCAUAACCGACACAGGUGGGUAGGUAGAGUAUACUAAGGGGCGCGAGAUAACUCUCUCUAAGGAACUCGGCAAAAUGACUCCGUAACUUCGGGAGAAGGAGUGCCUUAUUUAUAAGGUUGCAAUAACAAGAUCCAAGCAACUGUUUAUCAAAAACACAGGUCUCCGCUAAGUCGUAAGACGAUGUAUGGGGGCUGACGCCUGCCCAGUGCCAGAAGGUUAAAGAAGUUGGUUAGUGUAUGCGAAGCUGAUGACUGAAGCCCUGGUGAACGGCGGCCGUAACAAUAACGGUCCUAAGGUAGCGAAAUUCCUUGUCGGGUAAGUUCCGACCCGCACGAAAGGCGUAAUGAUUUGGAUACUGUCUCGGAGAGAGGCUCGGUGAAAUAGACUUGUCUGUGAAGAUGCGGACUACCUGCACCAGGACAGAAAGACCCUAUGAAGCUUUACUGUAACUUGAAAUUGGAAUUGGACUUUGCUUGCGCAGUAUAGGUGGGAAGCGUUGAAGAUAUUCUUGCGGGAGUAUUGGAGCUAUCAGUGAGAUACCACUCUUGUAAUGUUAGAUUUCUAACUUUGAACCAUAAUCUGGUCAAAGAACAGUUUCAGGUGGGCAGUUUGACUGGGGCGGUCGCCUCCCAAAUGGUAACGGAGGCGUACAAAGGUUUCCUCUGAACGGAUAGAAAUCGUAUCUAGAGUGUAAAGGCAUAAGGAAGCUUGACUGUGAGACCUACAAGUCGAGCAGGGACGAAAGUCGGUCUUAGUGAUCUGACGGUACUGAGUGGAAAGGCCGUCACUCAACGGAUAAAAGUUACUCUAGGGAUAACAGGCUGAUCUCCCCCAAGAGUUCACAUCGACGGGGAGGUUUGGCACCUCGAUGUCGGCUCAUCGCAUCCUGGGGCGGUAGUACGUCCCAAGGGUUGGGCUGUUCGCCCAUGAAAGCGGUACGCGAGCUGGGUUCAGAACGUCGUGAGACAGUUCGGUCCAUAUCCGGUGUAGGCGUUAGAAUAUUGAGAGGAGCCUUCUUUAGUACGAGAGGACCGAGAAGGACACACCGCUGGUGUACCAGUUAUCGUGCCAACGGUAAACGCUGGGUAGCUAUGUGUGGAGUGGAUAACCGCUGAAAGCAUCUAAGUGGGAAGCCCACCUCAAGAUGAGUAUUCUGGUGUAAGGUCACGGGAAGACGACCCGUAAAUAGGCACGAGGUGGAAGUGCAGAGAUGUAUGAAGCCGAAGUGUACUAAUAGACCGUCGGCUUG